GACGAACGCUGGCGGCGUGCUUAACACAUGCAAGUCGAACGGAAAGGCCCUGCUUUUGUGGGGUGCUCGAGUGGCGAACGGGUGAGUAACACGUGAGUAACCUGCCCUUGACUUUGGGAUAACUUCAGGAAACUGGGGCUAAUACCGGAUAGGAGCUCCUGCUGCAUGGUGGGGGUUGGAAAGUUUCGGCGGUUGGGGAUGGGCUCGCGGCUUAUCAGCUUGUUGGUGGGGUAGUGGCUUACCAAGGCUUUGACGGGUAGCCGGCCUGAGAGGGUGACCGGCCACCUUGGGACUGAGAUACGGCCCAGACUCCUACGGGAGGCAGCAGUGGGGAAUAUUGCACAAUGGGCGGAAGCCUGAUGCAGCAACGCCGCGUGCGGGAUGACGGCCUUCGGGUUGUAAACCGCUUUCGCCUGUGACGAAGCGUGAGUGACGGUAAUGGGUAAAGAAGCACCGGCUAACUACGUG
This 468-nucleotide ribosomal RNA is filed under the name uncultured bacterium. Its description in RNAcentral is "partial 16S ribosomal RNA". It matches the Rfam family "Bacterial small subunit ribosomal RNA", at positions 28 to 507 of the family's 1533-position model. The record is from RNAcentral.